GCGGGUUUAGCUCAGUUGGGAGAGCGUCAGACUGAAGUCAAACUUCGGGAUAUUGAUAUCUGAAGGUCAUGUGUUCGAUCCACAUAAACCGCA
This 93-nucleotide transfer RNA is filed under the name Fusarium acuminatum. RNAcentral describes it as "tRNA-Phe". It matches the Rfam family "tRNA". Rfam says of the family: Transfer RNA (tRNA) molecules are approximately 80 nucleotides in length. The record is from RNAcentral. Lineage: Eukaryota; Fungi; Ascomycota; Sordariomycetes; Hypocreales; Nectriaceae. RNAcentral also lists the same sequence under 4 other names.